AACAACUCAAAGUCUCUAUUUUUUUUAUUCCAAACCUGAUUUCUUGGCACCUUCAAGUUCAAUUUUUACAGUUCUAUUGUCUUUUGAACAAUAUCUUCCGUAAUCGGCCACAAAAAAAUCAUUUUUCAUUUCCAACUCCUAUCAUGUUUUUUCGAUUUUCAUCAUUUGGACUUAUUUAUGGAGGAUGGCCUAGAGUUUGUCUCAAUGUACUCUCAAUUAAACAUAGAUAAAGAUCAAAUGAAGAUAGACAACGCAACAUGAGGACAGAACCAAGAACAUGAAAAAGAUAACGAGGAACAACUACCAAAUUAAUUCCAGACAAUAGUAGCCUUGGCUAUUUCAUUUUUAUUGAUUAUCAUUGUGCCAGUUUUUACUGCUGCAUUUAUAGCAAAUUAUAAGGUCAGAUUGGCUGUGAAUGGUGAAUGUGGUUGCAAUGAGCUUGUCAGUUGUCAUUAUUAGCAUUUGGAUGAAUUGGUACUUUUUUAAGAACAAGUCCUAUGGUGAAAUCUUGUCAAAGAGUUUUAAUUGGAGGCAAGAUGGCUAUGGUCAUUACUUGUUGCCUUGCUAAGCUGAUUGGCUCUACUACAAGUAUUUCUUUCUAUUUUGGAUCUACGGUAAGUUUUUUAAAAAAAAAAUUAAUUCAAGGGGACAAUGCUUAUUUCAAAUGCCAAAAAAAAGAAGUGGUUUUAAGUUUCAUUUAAAGCACGCUAUUGCUGUACAUGGUGAAUGAUUAGGAGUGAAUAAAUACUAAUUUUAUCACGGGUCUCCUUGAAUACUUCCUAUUCAAAAUGUGGGAUUUCACUCCAUCAUGCAAGUUGUUUGAUUUUGCUCACAAUAAAUAUUUUUCUUUAGUAAGGAAUACAUAGUGUGUUAAGCCAUAAUGUCACCCAAGAUUCUCGAGCAAAAAGAAUAUAAUUUGCCCACGUAGCAAGUAAACCAUUUAUGUUCUUGGUUUACUUACUGUAAAAUCUACAUCUUUGAGUUUUUAUCCCCUUUUAUGUCCCAAAUUUAUCUCUCUUUCUAAUGUUUCUUACGAUCAUCUUUACUGUUAGUUAAUAAAGCCUAAUGUUGUUUCA
Molecule: long non-coding RNA, 1076 nt
Organism: Solanum pennellii
Lineage: Eukaryota; Viridiplantae; Streptophyta; Magnoliopsida; Solanales; Solanaceae
Exons: 3
Source: RefSeq, a predicted model, not a curated record